GCCUCCGUAGAUUAGUGAUUAAUCACCUCAUUUCCAUGAAUAAGCGAGAAGUGUGUAUUGAGGAGACGUGGGUUCAAAUCCCAUCGGAGGCA
Mycena epipterygia is the source of this 92-nucleotide non-coding RNA. Lineage: Eukaryota; Fungi; Basidiomycota; Agaricomycetes; Agaricales; Mycenaceae. The record is from the annotation of a GenBank genome assembly.